UACAGAGGGGGCAAGCGUUGUUCGGAAUUACUGGGCGUAAAGGGCGCGUAGGCGGCCUGCUAAGUCGAACGUGAAAUCCCCGGGCUCAACCCGGGAACUGCGUCCGAUACUGGCAGGCUUGAAUUCGGGAGAGGGAUGCGGAAUUCCAGGUGUAGCGGUGAAAUGCGUAGAUAUCUGGAGGAACACCGGUGGCGAAGGCGGCAUCCUGGACCGAAAUUGACGCUGAGGCGCGAAAGCGUGGGGAGCAAACAGG
Molecule: ribosomal RNA, 253 nt
Filed under: uncultured bacterium
Lineage: Bacteria
Description: partial 16S ribosomal RNA
Rfam family: Bacterial small subunit ribosomal RNA
Source: RNAcentral